UUGAGACCACAACUCUUCUCUGCUUCUUAAAAGCCUUUCCCUGGGAGAAGCUGUAGGACGCGGCGGAAUGUCUUUCUUCUUUGUGUCUGUGCUGGCUAAAGCAGGACAGAGGAGCUUGAAAAGGCUCGCCCUCCUCAAGGAACGUUAUCUGAUUCGUAAGCAUUCCUAGAGGUUAAGGCUGGUGACUAUCAAGAAAGCAAAUACUUCACGCAAGGCAAUAAAAACAUAGAGAUGUUGCAACCCAAGUACCCAAGUGAAGACAAAGCUCCAUCUGAGGAUGCCUUGGGUUCCAGAAGGUUCAGGUUCACAGCAUGAGCUUGGAGACUGGCUGUUGAGAAAAUACUGGCUGGGUGACUGAAAGGUCAGAGAAGAUGCUUCAGGAAGACUUUCAAGCAACAGUAAAUAUGGAAGCUGUUCCAGAGGGUGGGACUGGUCUUCUGUUUAUCUGGUACUAGAGGCACUUUUUUGGGCAUGUGAUUUGUAAGCGUUAUAAAAUGAUGGACUCAUAAUGGCCUUAUCCAUCUCCUACCAAGAAACAAGCAGCACUAAUAAACUUAAUCCUCAACACAGUCCUAACAGUAUUUCCAAGGGCUGUUUCAGCAAAUAUAAACACAUUAAAGAAUAGCCAGAAACCCAAUCUGCUCAGCAAUCACAGAUUUCUCAGUUGUGUGUUGAAGGCAUAGCAACCCAAAUUACCCUUGAAAUUACUCUAUUUAUUUCAAGUCAUACCCUUUUCCAAGCUGUAUUUUUAGACAACUUCAUACUAGUAGUACAAGAGUUUGUUCCAGACAAGGACUUAACUUGGGUUUAUGUUAACAUAUAAUUUGUAAAAGUCUGUAAUAAACAUCCUUCACUGAGACUGGCAGAAAGUGUAGGAAGGAAAACACCACCACUAACUUUGGCUACUUGCUUUGAUUCAGACUUCAUUGUGCGAUGUUUGUUUUGAGAGCUCCAAAACUGCACAGAAGUGAUGAAUCGUUGUGUCACUAAGACCAGAAUUUCCAAAACAGCCUUGUCUUUUUAGAUUUUGACUUCCAAUAUAAAUAUUCACCAGAGGCCUGGUGUUGGAUCGGAAAGUGUGCUAGCAGGCUUUCAUUCAGAUAGAAAGAAAUACGCAAUGCAUGAUUCAGGACCUUAAGCCUGAGCUGGCAUCCUGUAAUGCACUCACUGAAGCUGAUAAAAUUUUAGGGUGAAGAGGAAGUGCCAGCUGAAGUUUUACAAAUCAACACUCAGUGAAUAUUUAUGUAAAUAAACAGGAAAAGCAAAGUGCCAGUAUGCACAUGCUGCUGGCCACUCUGAAACUGCUACUCUUCCCAGGCCAGUGGUUAUAUCCUUUAGAAUAACAGGACCAUCAUUAUUUUUCCAGUGCUGAGACAGUUUCCCCUCUGUUAGUCACACAGAGUAAAAGCAGGCCUGAAAUCUCAGUUCAGCUCUGUUUGGAAACUAGUAUUUUUCAUAAAGAUGGAAGGAAACCACCAGGAACUUAUUUCUCUGCAGAGGCCUUCAGUUUUCCCAUGGCCACUCUUUUCUCCACACUGACCAGCUUCUCUGCAUUGGGUAAAGUUUUGGACUCCUUCAAAAUACCAGUUUAUCACUGAUACAAUUCAGGAUGCAUCAAUGACUUUGAAAGGAUGUUCUAGUAAUUGCUGUGAUAUUGCACUCUGUGUGAGUUCUGUUUUAUUAUUUUAAUCAUGCAGUUGUUCUGAUCAAAAUUGCUUGUGACAUUGUUUGAGACACUGAGCAAGCUCAUAAUGGGAAAAUCCAUUUCUCUGAAGUGACAGCACUUUAAAUAAUUUAAAGAUAUUCUUCCUGCUCUACCAAAAGGAAGUUUAAUCUAUUACAUUAUCUGUCCAGGCAGCUGCUGUUCAAAGGUGUGGACUAUCUUGAAUUAAG
Molecule: non-coding RNA, 1893 nt
Organism: Cyanistes caeruleus (blue tit)
Lineage: Eukaryota; Metazoa; Chordata; Aves; Passeriformes; Paridae
Source: RefSeq, a predicted model, not a curated record